This 511-nucleotide ribosomal RNA is filed under the name uncultured bacterium. RNAcentral describes it as "bacterial SSU rRNA". It matches the Rfam family "Bacterial small subunit ribosomal RNA", at positions 28 to 524 of the family's 1533-position model. The record is from RNAcentral.
GGUGAACGCUGGCGGCAGGCCUAAUACAUGCAAGUCGAACGGCAGCACAGUGGAGCUUGCUCUAUGGGUGGCGAGUGGCGGACGGGGUGAGGAAUACAUGGGAAUCUGCCCAGUCGUGGGGGAUAACGUAUGGAAACGUACGCUAAUACCGCAUGCGCCCUUCGGGGGAAAGUCGGGGACCGCAAGGCCUGACGCGAUUGGAUGAGCCCAUGUUCGAUUAGCUAGUUGGCGGGGUAACGGCCCACCAAGGCGACGAUCGAUAGCUGGUCUGAGAGGAUGAUCAGCCACACUGGAACUGAGACACGGUCCAGACUCCUACGGGAGGCAGCAGUAGGGAAUAUUGGACAAUGGGGGGCAACCCCUGAUCCAGCCAUGCCGCGUGAGUGAAGAAGGCCCUCGGGUUGUAAAGCUCUUUUGUUGGGGGAAGAAAAGCAGUUGGUUAAUACCCGAUUGUUCUGACGGUACCCAAAGAAUAAGCACCGGCUAACUUCGUGCCAGCAGCCGCGGUAAU